AUACGUAGGUGACAAGCGUUAUCCGGAUUUACUGGGCGUAAAGGGCGUGUAGGCGGUCUUGCAAGUCAGAAGUGAAAUUCCUGAGCUCAACGCGGGCGCUGCUUCUGAAACUGCAGGACUUGAGUGCUGGAGGGGAUAGCGGAAUUCCUCGUGGAGCGGUAAAAUGGGCAGAGAUUAGGAAGAACACUGGUGGCGAAGGCGGCUAUCGGGACAGUAACUGACGCUGAGGCGCGAAAGCGUGGGGAGAAAACAGGAUUAGAUACCCGGGUAGUCCACGCCGUAAACGAUGAAUACUAGGUGUAGGGGGUAUCGACUCCCUCUGUGCCGCAGUUAACACAAUAAGUAUUCCGCCUGGGGAGUACGGCCGCAAGGUUGAAACUCAAAUGAAUUGGCGGGG
RNAcentral lists this ribosomal RNA (397 nucleotides) under uncultured bacterium. Its description in RNAcentral is "partial 16S ribosomal RNA". It matches the Rfam family "Bacterial small subunit ribosomal RNA", at positions 523 to 918 of the family's 1533-position model. The record is from RNAcentral.